This 467-nucleotide ribosomal RNA is filed under the name uncultured bacterium. RNAcentral's name for it is "partial 16S ribosomal RNA". It matches the Rfam family "Bacterial small subunit ribosomal RNA", at positions 28 to 507 of the family's 1533-position model. The record is from RNAcentral.
GACGAACGCUGGCGGCGUGCUUAGCACAUGCAAGUCGAACGGAAAGGCCUCUUUCGGGGGGUACUCGAGUGGCGAACGGGUGAGUAACACGUGAGUAACCUGCCCUUGACUUUGGGAUAACUUCAGGAAACUGGGGCUAAUACCGGAUAGGAGCUCCUGCUGCAUGGUGGGGGUUGGAAAGUUUCGGCGGUUGGGGAUGGACUCGCGGCUUAUCAGCUUGUUGGUGGGGUAGUGGCUUACCAAGGCUUUGACGGGUAGCCGGCCUGAGAGGGUGACCGGCCACAUUGGGACUGAGAUACGGCCCAGACUCCUACGGGAGGCAGCAGUGGGGAAUAUUGCACAAUGGGUGGAAGCCGGAUGCAGCAACGCCGUGUGCGGGAUGACGGCCUUAGGGUUGUAAACCGCUUUCGCUCAUGACGAAGCUUUGUGUGACGGUAGUGGGUAAAGAAGCACCGGCUAACUACGUG